AAAAUUUCUCCUCCAGUUCAUUUCCAACAAGCAAAACCCCAUUAGCCCAUCAAAGCAAGCUCAGAUUUUUAAGGCUCUUGAAUUGUUUUUUGUGCCUUAAUCCGAUGUUCAAAAGCUGAUGAGACAGCUUUAAUUUUGAUUCCUGUCAAUAUUAGAACCAAUUUAUUUGGUGUAAUACACAUGUUUCUUUCUCCUGUGUCUCUUUUGUCAUAG
This 213-nucleotide unclassified non-coding RNA is filed under the name Hevea brasiliensis (rubber tree). Lineage: Eukaryota; Viridiplantae; Streptophyta; Magnoliopsida; Malpighiales; Euphorbiaceae. The record is from RNAcentral.